This 460-nucleotide ribosomal RNA is filed under the name uncultured bacterium. RNAcentral's name for it is "partial 16S ribosomal RNA". It matches the Rfam family "Bacterial small subunit ribosomal RNA", at positions 338 to 795 of the family's 1533-position model. The record is from RNAcentral.
CCUACGGGUGGCAGCAGUGAGGAAUAUUGGUCAAUGGACGAGAGUCUGAACCAGCCAAGUAGCGUGAAGGAUGACUGCCCUAUGGGUUGUAAACUUCUUUUAUAUGGGAAUAAAAUGUUCCACGUGUGGGAUUUUGUAUGUACCAUAUGAAUAAGGAUCGGCUAACUCCGUGCCAGCAGCCGCGGUAAUACGGAGGAUCCGAGCGUUAUCCGGAUUUAUUGGGUUUUAAGGGAGCGUAGGUGGAUUGUUAAGUCAGUUGUGAAAGUUUGCGGCUCAACCGUAAAAUUGCAGUUGAAACUGGCAGUCUUGAGUACAGUAGAGGUGGGCGGAAGUCGUGGUGUAGCGGUGAAAUGCUUAGAUAUCACGAAGAACUCCGAUUGCGAAGGCAGUUCACUGGACUGCAACUGACACUGAGGCUCGAAAGUGUGGGUAUCAAACAGGAUUAGAUACCCCAGUAGUC